UUAAUUGAAGAGUUUGAUCAUGGCUCAGAUUGAACGCUGGCGGCAGGCCUAACACAUGCAAGUCGAGCGGCAGCACAGAGGAACUUGUUCCUUGGGUGGCGAGCGGCGGACGGGUGAGUAAUGCCUGGGAAAUUGCCCGGUAGAGGGGGAUAACCAUUGGAAACGAUGGCUAAUACCGCAUAACCUCGCAAGAGCAAAGCAGGGGACCUUCGGGCCUUGCGCUACCGGAUAUGCCCAGGUGGGAUUAGCUAGUUGGUGAGGUA
Molecule: ribosomal RNA, 263 nt
Filed under: Vibrio cholerae
Lineage: Bacteria; Pseudomonadati; Pseudomonadota; Gammaproteobacteria; Vibrionales; Vibrionaceae
Description: partial 16S ribosomal RNA
Rfam family: Bacterial small subunit ribosomal RNA
Source: RNAcentral